Long non-coding RNA from Pyrgilauda ruficollis (rufous-necked snowfinch), 508 nucleotides. RefSeq lists it as uncharacterized. The record is from RefSeq and is a predicted model, not a curated record. NCBI's taxonomy places the organism in Eukaryota, Metazoa, Chordata, Aves, Passeriformes, Passeridae. The transcript has 5 exons.
UUCAAAGUGAGCUAAAGGCCAAACUUAUUUUGGCCAGGCAGUUGAGAUGAUUUGUAAUUCAUGUUUCUCCAGUUUUAGGCAGGGUCAAAUACUUAAGGGAGAGAUGGCUGGGAUGUUAACAAGUUCCUAACCUAAGAGGAAAAAGGCAUCUUUAUGGACCGCUGUAAACAUACAUCUGAUUUAACUAGAUUUACCUGUGAACAGAGAAGAGGAGACAGCAGAGACAGCUAAUAAGAGAAGAGGUCACAGGAGAUCACUACAGCCCGAUCUGGCUGCAAGAACCUGUGAAAAGUUCAGAGCUGUUACCAGUGACAAUCCUGUUCAUGGGGGAAUUGCAGUGGAACCAGGAUUUCCACCGCAUACAUGUUUCAGUGCCAUGUUCUUUCAGGUAUUGAACAAAUAUCUCUAACAAAUACUCUUCACACAAGCUCCACUCACAAGACCAGAAUUCUACAUGCAAAUUUCCUACAUGCAUGAAGGUAAAACCUGGGGUGACUGUCUAAAGCCA